AUACGUAGGUGGCAAGCGUUAUCCGGAUUUACUGGGUGUAAAGGGCGCGUAGGCGGGGAUGCAAGUCAGAUGUGAAAUCUAUGGGCUUAACCCAUAAACUGCAUUUGAAACUGUAUCUCUUGAGUGUCGGAGAGGUAGAUGGAAUUCCUUGUGUAGCGGUGAAAUGCGUAGAUAUGAGGAAGAACACCAGUGGCGAAGGCGAUCUACUGGACGAUAACUGACGCUGAGGCGCGAAAGCGUGGGGAGCAAACAGGAUUAGAUACCCUGGUAGUCCACGCUGUAAACGAUGAAUACUAGGUGUGGGGGGACUGACCCCUUCCGUGCCGCAGUUAACACAAUAAGUAUUCCGCCUGGGGAGUACGGCCGCAAGGUUGAAACUCAAAUGAAUUGGCGGGG
Molecule: ribosomal RNA, 396 nt
Filed under: uncultured bacterium
Lineage: Bacteria
Description: partial 16S ribosomal RNA
Rfam family: Bacterial small subunit ribosomal RNA
Source: RNAcentral